Strigops habroptila (Kakapo) is the source of this 119-nucleotide long non-coding RNA. RefSeq lists it as uncharacterized. NCBI's taxonomy places the organism in Eukaryota, Metazoa, Chordata, Aves, Psittaciformes, Psittacidae. The record is from RefSeq and is a predicted model, not a curated record. The transcript is spliced from 3 exons.
CUGGAAAGAAUACAGGGACAUUGUCCGGGAAGCUUAUAAAUGGUGGAAGCGAGGACAGGCAGCCUGGGAAGAAUGCAGGGACAUUGUCCGGGAAGUUAGGGAUCAGGUCAGGAAAGCUA